GAAUUCGGCUUCCUACGGGGGGCAGCAGUGGGGAAUAUUGGACAAUGGGGGGAACCCUGAUCCAGCCAUGCCGCGUGUGUGAAGAAGGCCUUAUGGUUGUAAAGCACUUUAAGCGAGGAGGAGGCUACUGAGACUAAUACUCUUGGAUAGUGGACGUUACUCGCAGAAUAAGCACCGGCUAACUCUGUGCCAGCAGCCGCGGUAAUACAGAGGGUGCGAGCGUUAAUCGGAUUUACUGGGCGUAAAGCGUGCGUAGGCGGCUUUUUAAGUCGGAUGUGAAAUCCCCGAGCUUAACUUGGGAAUUGCAUUCGAUACUGGGAAGCUAGAGUAUGGGAGAGGAUGGUAGAAUUCCAGGUGUAGCGGUGAAAUGCGUAGAGAUCUGGAGGAAUACCGAUGGCGAAGGCAGCCAUCUGGCCUAAUACUGACGCUGAGGUACGAAAGCAUGGGGAGCAAACAGGAUUAGAUACCCUGGUAGUCCAUGCCGUAAACGAUGCCUACUAGCCGUUGGGGCCUUUGAGGCUUUAGUGGCGCAGCUAACGCGAUAAGUAGACCGCCUGGGGAGUACGGUCGCAAGACUAAAACUCAAAUGAAUUGACGGGGGCCCGCACAAGCGGUGGAGCAUGUGGUUUAAUUCGAUGCAACGCGAAGAACCUUACCUGGCCUUGACAUACUAGAAACUUUCCAGAGAUGGAUUGGUGCCUUCGGGAAUCUAGAUACGGGUGCUGCAUGGCUGUCGUCAGCUCGUGUCGUGAGAUGUUGGGUUAAGUCCCGCAACGAGCGCAACCCUUUUCCUUACUUGCCAGCAUUUCGGAUGGGAACUUUAAGGAUACUGCCAGUGACAAACUGGAGGAAGGCGGGGACGACGUCAAGUCAUCAUGGCCCUUACGGCCAGGGCUACACACGUGCUACAAUGGUCGGUACAAAGGGUUGCUACACAGCGAUGUGAUGCUAAUCUCAAAAAGCCGAUCGUAGUCCGGAUUGGAGUCUGCAACUCGAGUGCAUGAAGGCGGAAUCGCUAGUAAUCGUGGAUCAGCAUGCCACGGUGAAUACGUUCCCGGGCCUUGUACACACCGCCCGUCAAGCCGAAUUC
This 1090-nucleotide ribosomal RNA is filed under the name marine bacterium MSC19. RNAcentral describes it as "bacterial SSU rRNA". It matches the Rfam family "Bacterial small subunit ribosomal RNA", at positions 327 to 1409 of the family's 1533-position model. The record is from RNAcentral.